GAUGAACGCUGGCGGCGUGCCUAAUACAUGCAAGUCGAGCGAACGGACGAGAAGCUUGCUUCUCUGAUGUUAGCGGCGGACGGGUGAGUAACACGUGGAUAACCUACCUAUAAGACUGGGAUAACUUCGGGAAACCGGAGCUAAUACCGGAUAAUAUUUUGAACCGCAUGGUUCAAAAGUGAAAGACGGUCUUGCUGUCACUUAUAGAUGGAUCCGCGCUGCAUUAGCUAGUUGGUAAGGUAACGGCUUACCAAGGCAACGAUGCAUAGCCGACCUGAGAGGGUGAUCGGCCACACUGGAACUGAGACACGGUCCAGACUCCUACGGGAGGCAGCAGUAGGCAAUCUUCCGCAAUGGGCGCAAGCCUGACCGAGCAACGCCGCGUGAGUGAUGAAGGUCUUCGGAUCGUAAAACUCUGUUAUUAGGGAAGAACAUAUGUGUAAGUAACUGUGCACAUCUUGACGGUACCUAAUCAGAAAGCCACGGCUAACUACGUG
Molecule: ribosomal RNA, 497 nt
Filed under: uncultured bacterium
Lineage: Bacteria
Description: partial 16S ribosomal RNA
Rfam family: Bacterial small subunit ribosomal RNA
Source: RNAcentral